CUGCAAAUUGGGUUCCAUCCGCUCCACGACUCUCCAGGUGGGUGUGACAUGAAAGGGGUAACGUUAUCACCCGUCAAAAGUUGGGAGAUUUUAGUAAUACCUUCCUGUUCCCAAUAGACCAGUGGGAACAAUGGUAAAACUGAGGGUAGGGCCUGCAGGGGAGCUAAUCUAUGGAAUUUGAGGGGUUUCUGGUCUUGUCCCAUGCAAAAAUGGCCAUUUUGUUGGGUGUGAAAGAGGGUGUGAG
Molecule: non-coding RNA, 244 nt
Organism: Pelobates cultripes (western spadefoot toad)
Lineage: Eukaryota; Metazoa; Chordata; Amphibia; Anura; Pelobatidae
Source: the annotation of a GenBank genome assembly